AUUGAACGCUGGCGGCAGGCCUAACUCAUGCAAGUCGAGCGGAUGAAGGGAGCUUGCUCCUGGAUUCAGCGGCGGACGGGUGUGUACUGCCUAGGAAUCUGCCUGGUAGUGGGGGAUAACGUCCGGAAACGGGCGCUAAUACCGCAUACGUCCUGAGGGAGAAAGUGGGGGAUCUUCGGACCUCACGCUAUCAGAUGAGCCUAGGUCGGAUUAGCUAGUUGGUGGGGUAAAGGCCUACCAAGGCGACGAUCCGUAACUGGUCUGAGAGGAUGAUCAGUCACCCUGUAACUGAGACACGGUCCAGACUCCUACGGGAGGCAGCAGUGUGAGAUAUUUGACAUUGGGCGAAAUCCUGAUCCAGCCAUGCCGCGUGUGUGAAGAAGGUCUUCGAAUUGUAAAGCACUUGUGGUUAGGAGGAGGGGCAGUAAGUUAAAGCCUUGCUGUUUUGACGUUACCAACAGAAUGGGCACCGGCUAGCUACGUG
This 484-nucleotide ribosomal RNA is filed under the name uncultured bacterium. RNAcentral describes it as "partial 16S ribosomal RNA". It matches the Rfam family "Bacterial small subunit ribosomal RNA", at positions 30 to 507 of the family's 1533-position model. The record is from RNAcentral.